AGGAGUUAACUGCUCCUUUUUUUCUUUCUUUUUUUCAUUUCAAAGUUUCUACCAGUGUAUCAGUGAUGGACAACGGAGAGACAUGCUGUAGAGUGUUUGCCUAGUUGACAAAGCUGCUUUUGAAUGCUGGUGGUUCUGUUCCUUUGACACUACGCACUUUUAUAAUAUGUGUUAAUGCUCUAUGACAAAAUGCUCUGACUCCUAGUGCCAAAGGUUCCCUUCAGUGUGUAUAACUGAACACUCAUCCAUCUGUGCUCUUUUUUUUUUUAAAUGGUGCUUAAAGAGCCCAUCCUUUGCAAGUCAUCCAUGUUGUUCCUUAGGCAUUUUAUCUUUGCUCAAUUGUUAAAGAAUGGUG
This 355-nucleotide long non-coding RNA is filed under the name Androctonus crassicauda. Lineage: Eukaryota; Metazoa; Arthropoda; Arachnida; Scorpiones; Buthidae. The record is from RNAcentral.